CCUACGGGAGGCAGCAGUAGGGAAUCUUUCACAAUGGGCGAAAGCCUGAUGGAGCAACGCCGCGUGCAGGAUGAAGGCCUUCGGGUUGUAAACUUCUUUUAUUAGCGAGAAAUAUGAUGGUAACUUAUUAAUCAUGAUCGGCUAACUUCGUGCCAGCAGCCGCGGUCAUACGUAGGAUCCGAGCAUUAUCCGGGGUGACUGUGUGUAAAGAGUUGCGUAGGUGGCAUAAUAAGUAGCUAGUGAAAACUGGUGGCUCAACCAUUCGGGCGAUUUGCUAAACUGUUAAGCUCGAGACCGUUAGGGGUAACUGGAAUUUCUAGUGUAGGAGUGAAAUCCGUAGAUAUAAGAAGGAACACCAAUGGCGUAGGCAGGUUGCUGGGACGGAUCUGACACUAAGGCACGAAAGCGUAGGGAGCAAACGGGAUUAGAUACCCUAGUAGUC
RNAcentral lists this ribosomal RNA (442 nucleotides) under uncultured bacterium. Its description in RNAcentral is "partial 16S ribosomal RNA". It matches the Rfam family "Bacterial small subunit ribosomal RNA", at positions 338 to 795 of the family's 1533-position model. The record is from RNAcentral.